This 84-nucleotide transfer RNA is filed under the name Dolosigranulum pigrum. RNAcentral's name for it is "tRNA-Leu". It matches the Rfam family "tRNA". From Rfam's summary of the family: Transfer RNA (tRNA) molecules are approximately 80 nucleotides in length. Their secondary structure includes four short double-helical elements and three loops (D, anti-codon, and T loops). Further hydrogen bonds mediate the characteristic L-shaped molecular structure. tRNAs have two regions of fundamental functional importance: the anti-codon, which is responsible for specific mRNA codon recognition, and the 3' end, to which the tRNAs corresponding amino acid is attached (by aminoacyl-tRNA synthetases). tRNAs cope with the degeneracy of the genetic code in two manners: having more than one tRNA (with a specific anti-codon) for a particular amino acid; and 'wobble' base-pairing, i.e. permitting non-standard base-pairing at the 3rd anti-codon position. The record is from RNAcentral. RNAcentral also lists the same sequence under 2 other names. Lineage: Bacteria; Bacillati; Bacillota; Bacilli; Lactobacillales; Carnobacteriaceae.
GCGCAUAUGGCGGAAUGGUAGACGCGCUACCUUGAGGGGGUAGUGGGCCUUGUGCCCGUGGAAGUUCAAAUCUUCUUAUGCGCA